RNAcentral lists this small RNA (66 nucleotides) under Plasmodium falciparum 3D7. RNAcentral describes it as "Pfa-npcR6497". Lineage: Eukaryota; Apicomplexa; Aconoidasida; Haemosporida; Plasmodiidae. The record is from RNAcentral.
GUAGUAAGUUAGUAGUAGUGAAGUAAUAGUCAUGUAGUAGUAAGUUAGUAGUAGUUGUAAGGUAGU